AUGGGUAUGCUGAAAUUGGUAGACAGGCCCCGCUUAGGACGGGGUGAAAUUUUUCAUA
Molecule: transfer RNA, 58 nt
Filed under: Periconia digitata
Lineage: Eukaryota; Fungi; Ascomycota; Dothideomycetes; Pleosporales; Periconiaceae
Description: tRNA-Leu
Source: RNAcentral